UACGUAGGUGGCGAGCGUUAUCCGGAAUUACUGGGCGUAAAGCGCACGCAGGCGGCUAGAUAAGUCUGACGUGAAAGCUCCUGGCUUAACUGGGAGAGGUCGUUGGAAACUGUCUGGCUUGAGGCGAUGAGAGGGGUGCGGAAUUCCCGGUGUAGUGGUGGAAUGCGUAGAGAUCGGGGGGAACACCAGUGGCGAAAGCGGCACCCUGGCAUUGGCCUGACGCUCAUGUGCGAAAGCGUGGGGAGCAAACAGG
This 253-nucleotide unclassified non-coding RNA is filed under the name uncultured Caldilineaceae bacterium. Its description in RNAcentral is "contains 16S-23S intergenic spacer region". It matches the Rfam family "Bacterial small subunit ribosomal RNA", at positions 524 to 776 of the family's 1533-position model. The record is from RNAcentral. Lineage: Bacteria; Bacillati; Chloroflexota; Caldilineae; Caldilineales; Caldilineaceae.